RNAcentral lists this ribosomal RNA (444 nucleotides) under uncultured bacterium. RNAcentral describes it as "bacterial SSU rRNA". It matches the Rfam family "Bacterial small subunit ribosomal RNA", at positions 57 to 518 of the family's 1533-position model. The record is from RNAcentral.
GCAAGUCGAACGAGAAAGCGGUUCGGCCGCGAGUAAAGUGGCGAAAGGGUGACGUAACACGUGAGGAACCCGCCCCCCAGUCCGGAACAAUCCUGUGAAAACGGGCCUGAAACCGGAUGCCGGCCCGCCCCGCAUGGGGCGGCGCCGAAACAUUUAUGGCUGGAGGAUGGCCUCGCGCCCCAUUAGCUUGUUGGCGGGUAACGGCCCACCAAGGCGACGACGGGUAGGUGGUCUGAGAGGAUGGUCACCCACACUGGGACUGAGACACUGCCCAGACUCCUACGGGAGGCUGCAGUCGAGAAUCUUCCGCAAUGGGCGCAAGCCUGACGGAGCGAUGCCGCGUGAGGGAAGUAGGCCUUCGGGUCGUGAACCUCUGUCGACGGGGACGAACGCAAUGACGGUACCCGUCAAGAAAGCCACGGCUAACCACGUGCCAGCAGCCGC